Molecule: ribosomal RNA, 574 nt
Filed under: Pluralibacter gergoviae
Lineage: Bacteria; Pseudomonadati; Pseudomonadota; Gammaproteobacteria; Enterobacterales; Enterobacteriaceae
Description: partial 23S ribosomal RNA
Rfam family: Bacterial large subunit ribosomal RNA
Source: RNAcentral
AAUGGGUCAGCGACUUAUAUUCUGUAGCAAGGUUAACCGAAUAGGGGAGCCGAAGGGAAACCGAGUCUUAACUGGGCGUUAAGUUGCAGGGUAUAGACCCGAAACCCGGUGAUCUAGCCAUGGGCAGGUUGAAGGUUGGGUAACACUAACUGGAGGACCGAACCGACUAAUGUUGAAAAAUUAGCGGAUGACCUGUGGCUGGGGGUGAAAGGCCAAUCAAACCGGGAGAUAGCUGGUUCUCCCCGAAAGCUAUUUAGGUAGCGCCUCGUGAACUCAUCUUCGGGGGUAGAGCACUGUUUCGGCUAGGGGGUCAUCCCGACUUACCAACCCGAUGCAAACUGCGAAUACCGAAGAAUGUUAUCACGGGAGACACACGGCGGGUGCUAACGUCCGUCGUGAAGAGGGAAACAACCCAGACCGCCAGCUAAGGUCCCAAAGUCAUGGUUAAGUGGGAAACGAUGUGGGAAGGCCCAGACAGCCAGGAUGUUGGCUUAGAAGCAGCCAUCAUUUAAAGAAAGCGUAAUAGCUCACUGGUCGAGUCGGCCUGCGCGGAAGAUGUAACGGGGCUAAACCA